GACGAACGCUGGCGGCGUGCCUAAUACAUGCAAGUUGAGCGCUGAAGGUUGGUACUUGUACCAACUGGAUGAGCAGCGAACGGGUGAGUAACGCGUGGGGAAUCUGCCUUUGAGCGGGGGACAACAUUUGGAAACGAACGCUAAUACCGCAUAAAAACUUUAAACACAAGUUUUAAGUUUGAAAGAUGCAAUUGCAUCACUCAAAGAUGAUCCCGCGUUGUAUUAGCUAGUUGGUGAGGUAAAGGCUCACCAAGGCGAUGAUACAUAGCCGACCUGAGAGGGUGAUCGGCCACAUUGGGACUGAGACACGGCCCAAACUCCUACGGGAGGCAGCAGUAGGGAAUCUUCGGCAAUGGACGAAAGUCUGACCGAGCAACGCCGCGGGAGUGAAGAAGGUUUUCGGAUCGUAAAACUCUGUUGGUAGAGAAGAACGUUGGUGAGAGUGGAAAGCUCAUCAAGUGACGGUAACUACCCAGAAAGGGACGGCUAACUACGUG
RNAcentral lists this ribosomal RNA (497 nucleotides) under uncultured bacterium. RNAcentral describes it as "partial 16S ribosomal RNA". It matches the Rfam family "Bacterial small subunit ribosomal RNA", at positions 28 to 507 of the family's 1533-position model. The record is from RNAcentral.